RNAcentral lists this ribosomal RNA (455 nucleotides) under Streptococcus sp. oral taxon 071. RNAcentral describes it as "bacterial SSU rRNA". It matches the Rfam family "Bacterial small subunit ribosomal RNA", at positions 28 to 467 of the family's 1533-position model. The record is from RNAcentral. Lineage: Bacteria; Bacillati; Bacillota; Bacilli; Lactobacillales; Streptococcaceae.
GACGAACGCUGGCGGCGUGCCUAAUACAUGCAAGUAGAACGCUGAAGAGAGGAGCUUGCUCUUCUUGGAUGAGUUGCGAACGGGUGAGUAACGCGUAGGUAACCUGCCUGGUAGCGGGGGAUAACUAUUGGAAACGAUAGCUAAUACCGCAUAAAAUGGAUUAUCGCAUGAUAAUUCAUUGAAAGGUGCAAAUGCAUCACUACCAGAUGGACCUGCGUUGUAUUAGCUAGUUGGUGGGGUAACGGCUCACCAAGGCGACGAUACAUAGCCGACCUGAGAGGGUGAUCGGCCACACUGGGACUGAGACACGGCCCAGACUCCUACGGGAGGCAGCAGUAGGGAAUCUUCGGCAAUGGACGGAAGUCUGACCGAGCAACGCCGCGUGAGUGAAGAAGGUUUUCGGAUCGUAAAGCUCUGUUGUAAGAGAAGAACGAGUGUGAGAGUGGAAAGUUCAC